GGAAGUAAAAGUCGUAACAAGGUCUCCGUUGGUGAACCAGCGGAGGGACAUUACAGAGUUGCAAAACUCCCUAAACCAUCGUGAACGCUACCUAAACCGUUGCUUCGGCGGGCGGCGCCCUCGCGCGCCCCCCUGGGGCCCGCACCGCGGGCGCCCGCCGGAGGUACACCAAACUCUUGAUAUGUUAUGGCCACUCUGAGUCUCCUGUACUGAAUAAGUCAAAACUUUCAACAACGGAUCUCUUGGUUCUGGCAUCGAUGAAGAACGCAGCGAAAUGCGAUAAGUAAUGUGAAUUGCAGAAUUCAGUGAAUCAUCGAAUCUUUGAACGCACAUUGCGCCCGCCAGCAUCCUGGCGGGCAUGCCUGUUCGAGCGUCAUUUCAACCCAUCAAGCCCACGGCUUGUGUUGGGGACCUGCGGCUGCCCGCAGGCCCUGAAAACCAGUGGCGGGCUCGCUAGUCACACCGGGCGUAGUAGCAUACGACCUCGCUCAGGGCGUGCUGCGGGUUCCAGCCGUAAAACGACCUUCAGAACCCAAGGUGACCUCGGAUCAGGUAGGAAGACCCGCUGAACUUAAGCAUAUCAAUAAGCGGAGGA
RNAcentral lists this ribosomal RNA (595 nucleotides) under Myceliophthora sp. T41. Its description in RNAcentral is "eukaryotic LSU rRNA". The stretch from base 223 to 376 matches the Rfam family "5.8S ribosomal RNA". Lineage: Eukaryota; Fungi; Ascomycota; Sordariomycetes; Sordariales; Chaetomiaceae. The record is from RNAcentral.